GCGACCUGGGGCGCGCUGGGCCUCGCAGAGCAGCCGCGGACCCCGGCGAUCGUGCCGUGUUCGUCUCCUUUGUGUUUCUUUAUUGAGUCCCUACUACCUCUACGGAUAUUCUGGGGGCAAUUAAAGAAAAUCGCCGCUUCCUAGACAGCACAUAUUUCCCAUAGAAAUGUGGAAUGUAAGAAAGGCACAUAAAGCAAUCCAAGUUGCCUACAGAUAUCCACAGCCUACUUCAGUCCCAGUAAUGCUCUUUUAACCUGGUGCAUCCGUUUAAGGGAAGACAUGAGAUCAUGGGUUUAAGUGAGGCUUCAUCAUGCCAAGACAACGUGAUCAGUUAUUCCCAACCUAUAUAACUCACAUACACUGGAGGAAAUAUCUUCAUGGAAUUAAAACCACAUGGAGUAACAUUUCACGUAAGCAGAAUUCAGGAAGGAUUUCAGUAAUUCCAUCCCAAACACACACAGGCAAAGGGAGUGAAGAUUUCUUCAGCAACAUGGUGGCAGAAAGAUCAUGAAAAGAUCUAGGCCAGUCCAAGCUCACUGCAGUUAAAUCUUCAGUCUCCAGCACUGCACUUGGGAAAGCGUCAAGGAGUUGAAUGUAUAUGUAAUUGGAGUGCCAGAAGAAGAGAACCGAGAGAGAGGGGCAGAACAGCUCAUGAGGGGAAAACCCACUACAUACAAACAAGAAUACUGCAGACUCCUCAUCGGAAUCUAUGCUACCUGUAAAGGCUUGUAAAAGCACAGAGCUGCUCUCACCACGCAGCCAAAGAAGAAAUGAGGAUAUCGGUCCUAUAACUGCAAGGAACUGAAUGCUGCCAACCACCUGAAUGGACUUGGGCUACUGAGAAGAAGCUAUUCUAGCAAAGCUGGAGGAAUUCCACCAGACUGACAGAACAACACAAAUAAGUCCAUGCCUGACGCACAGCAGGGGCUCAAGGCAAGUUUGUGGACUCGAAGCCCUGUUAGAAUGGGUGGAAUUUGGUCUUAUGAAGCAGAUAGAAGAACAGGAGCUUGACUGUAAAGAUUUGUCUCCACCUCUUAAUAAAGCAUAUCAUCUCCAA
This 1057-nucleotide long non-coding RNA is filed under the name Pan troglodytes (chimpanzee). RNAcentral describes it as "lincRNA". The record is from RNAcentral. Lineage: Eukaryota; Metazoa; Chordata; Mammalia; Primates; Hominidae.